CCCGCUGAACUUAAGCAUAUCAAUAAGCGGAGAGAAAAGAAACCAACAGGGAUUGCCCUAGUAACGGCGAGUGAAGCGGCUACAGCUCAUAUUUGAAAUCUGGCUCUUUCAGAGUCCGAGUUGUAAUUUGCAGAGGGCGCUUUGGCUUUAGCUGCGGUCCAAGUUCCUUGGAACAGGUCGUCACAGAGGGUGAGAAUCCCGUACGUGGUCGCUAGUUUUCGCCGUGUAAAGCCCCUUCGACGAGUCGAGUUGUUUGGGAAUGCAGCUCUAAAUGGGAGGUAAAUUUCUUCUAAAGCUAAAUACUGGCCAGAGACCGAUAGCGCACAAGUAGAGUGAUCGAAAGAUGAAAAGCACUUUGGAAAGAGAGUCAAAUAGCACGUGAAAUUGUUGAAAGGGAAGCGCUUGCAGCCAGACUUGCCUGUAGUUGCUCAUCCGGGCUUUUGCCCGGUGCAUUCUUCUGUAGGCAGGCCAGCAUCAGUUUGGGCGGUUGGAUAAAGGUCUCUGUCAUGUACCUCCUUUCGGGGAGUCCUUAUAGGGGAGGCGACAUGCAACCAGUCUGGACUGAGGUCCGCGCAUCUGCUAGGAUGCUGGCGUAAUGGCUGUAAGCGGCCCGUCUUGAAACACGG
Molecule: ribosomal RNA, 626 nt
Filed under: uncultured fungus
Lineage: Eukaryota; Fungi
Description: eukaryotic LSU rRNA
Rfam family: Eukaryotic large subunit ribosomal RNA
Source: RNAcentral